Sardina pilchardus (European sardine) is the source of this 211-nucleotide long non-coding RNA. RefSeq lists it as uncharacterized. The record is from RefSeq and is a predicted model, not a curated record. Lineage: Eukaryota; Metazoa; Chordata; Actinopteri; Clupeiformes; Clupeidae. The transcript has 3 exons.
AAACAGCACACCUAUCACAACUAGGCAUCCCUGCUGUACCCCCAGUGCACAGUUGCACAGAAACUGAGCAGAGCUGGCAUAAGCCAAGGACCAUGGGUGUUAGGCCAGGUCCUGUGGGAGACAUGGAGGUCCGCAAACCUCAAAAUUCUACGGCUGUAUGUGUGAGAAGUUCUCUCUACAAAGCACUUGACGGGGAAAUGCCAGAUCUUGC